AACGAACGCUGGCGGUAUGCUUUACACAUGCAAGUCGAACGAAUUGUUGGUAGCUUGCUAUCAACAGUUAGUGGCAAACGGGUGAGUAAUGCGUGGGAAUCUGCCCUAGUAGUACGGAAUAGCCGUUUGGAAAACGACGAUUAAUACCGUAUAUCUUCCGAGGAAGAAAGACUUGUACGCUAUAGGAUGAGCCCACGUUAGAUUAGUUUGUUGGUAGGUAACGGCCUACCAAGACUGCCGAUCUAUAGCUGGUUUGAGAGGAUGAUCAGCCACACUGGAACUGAGAUACGGUCCAGACUUCUACGGAAGGCAGCAGUGAGGAAUAUUGGACAAUGGGCAAAGCCUGGAUCCAGCAAUACCGCGUGAGUGAUG
Molecule: ribosomal RNA, 372 nt
Filed under: uncultured bacterium
Lineage: Bacteria
Description: bacterial SSU rRNA
Rfam family: Bacterial small subunit ribosomal RNA
Source: RNAcentral